This 164-nucleotide ribosomal RNA is filed under the name Solanum drymophilum. RNAcentral describes it as "5.8S ribosomal RNA". It matches the Rfam family "5.8S ribosomal RNA". From Rfam's summary of the family: 5.8S ribosomal RNA (5.8S rRNA) is a component of the large subunit of the eukaryotic ribosome. The record is from RNAcentral. Lineage: Eukaryota; Viridiplantae; Streptophyta; Magnoliopsida; Solanales; Solanaceae.
AAAACGACUCUCGGCAACGGAUAUCUCGGCUCUCGCAUCGAUGAAGAACGUAGCGAAAUGCGAUACUUGGUGUGAAUUGCAGAAUCCCGUGAACCAUCGAGUCUUUGAACGCAAGUUGCGCCCGAAGCCAUCAGGCCGAGGGCACGCCUGCCUGGGCGUCACGC